CGUCAUAGAAGGAUGUCGUGUGGUCAUAAAUUAGGGCUAUGGAAGAAAAUAAGGGAGGAUAAGAGAGACAGGUUUGGACAGUGUAAUGAUGGCAGGACUGGGGGACUAUAUUUUAUGGAGCAGACAGCCCCUUGAGCAUAAUCUGAAGGGAACAGGGAACAAGCUCUGCAGAUAACUGAGAGAAAAUAUUUUCAGCAGAGGAACUGACAACUACAAAUUUCAUGAGAGGGUUGUGUGCUUGCUAUGUUUGAGAAUGACAAGGAGCCCAGGGUGGUGGAAGAAGAAAAAAGAGAGAGAGAAUGAAAGCUGAAAUUCUGUCUUUUGGAGAACACGGGGAGGAAAUCUGCAACACCAAAUCCACCUGGUUUAGUCACCUAAUGAACCAUUCCAUUAGUAACUAAAGAUCUUUGCUUUGUUCAUGUUACCUGCAUUCGAACCUGAACUCCUUCAAAGAAAUUCUCUUUCUCCUGUUUCUAUAAAAACAAGGCUGCUAAAAUAUAUUACAUAUCAUU
Molecule: non-coding RNA, 512 nt
Organism: Macaca mulatta (Rhesus monkey)
Lineage: Eukaryota; Metazoa; Chordata; Mammalia; Primates; Cercopithecidae
Source: RefSeq, a predicted model, not a curated record